RNAcentral lists this long non-coding RNA (653 nucleotides) under Physcomitrium patens. RNAcentral describes it as "long non-coding RNA (PPAT_LNC000652)". The record is from RNAcentral. Lineage: Eukaryota; Viridiplantae; Streptophyta; Bryopsida; Funariales; Funariaceae.
UUUUUUAGAUUUUUUUUUCUUUCUUUUUUAGCUUGUUCUCACUCUUUGACUUUUUUAGUGUCUCUCUCAACCAUGGUCUUUAAUACAACUAUAACACCCUUGUAAUGCAAGGCUUAGGUACUAGGAUUUUUUAUUCUCCAAUUGCAUUCCGUUUAGAGAAAUGAGCAAAAAAAUAAAGAAUGUGAGAGAGAUAAUUUUGGAGACUAGGAUUCCAAAAAAGAACCUCCUAAAUUAAAUGGAACAAUUGCAAUGAGAUAACUUUGGCAAUAAGCCUAUGUCCUUGGCCACACUAGGUUUUUUCUUUUGUUUUCUCCCAAUGAAUCAAUAUUACAAGAAAAUAUUCUAUUUAUAUCUAAAAGUCUAGAAUUCUAAAAAAAACAUGAUAAUUAUAAAAUUAUUUUUUAAAAUAUUUAUUAAAAGAAAAUUUAAAUUAGAUAAUAUGAUUUUAAAUUUGUGUAAUAUAUUUUAUAACCUUAGUAUCUUCAAAAAUAAUUUCAGAAUAUUUUGUUGUAUUUACAAAUAAAACCAUACUAGACCAACAAAUAUCAUUGAAUAUUUAUAGAUAAAGAAAGAAUAAAGAUCCUUAUUUGCAGAUUUUUUAGAUUGACUAUUAUUCUUAAAUUUAAAAUUAUUUUUUUAUUCAAUGUGUCUAA